RNAcentral lists this ribosomal RNA (1539 nucleotides) under Klebsiella pneumoniae. Its description in RNAcentral is "bacterial SSU rRNA". It matches the Rfam family "Bacterial small subunit ribosomal RNA". The record is from RNAcentral. Lineage: Bacteria; Pseudomonadati; Pseudomonadota; Gammaproteobacteria; Enterobacterales; Enterobacteriaceae.
AAAUUGAAGAGUUUGAUCAUGGCUCAGAUUGAACGCUGGCGGCAGGCCUAACACAUGCAAGUCGAGCGGUAGCACAGAGAGCUUGCUCUCGGGUGACGAGCGGCGGACGGGUGAGUAAUGUCUGGGAAACUGCCUGAUGGAGGGGGAUAACUACUGGAAACGGUAGCUAAUACCGCAUAACGUCGCAAGACCAAAGUGGGGGACCUUCGGGCCUCAUGCCAUCAGAUGUGCCCAGAUGGGAUUAGCUAGUAGGUGGGGUAACGGCUCACCUAGGCGACGAUCCCUAGCUGGUCUGAGAGGAUGACCAGCCACACUGGAACUGAGACACGGUCCAGACUCCUACGGGAGGCAGCAGUGGGGAAUAUUGCACAAUGGGCGCAAGCCUGAUGCAGCCAUGCCGCGUGUGUGAAGAAGGCCUUCGGGUUGUAAAGCACUUUCAGCGGGGAGGAAGGCGAUAAGGUUAAUAACCUUGUCGAUUGACGUUACCCGCAGAAGAAGCACCGGCUAACUCCGUGCCAGCAGCCGCGGUAAUACGGAGGGUGCAAGCGUUAAUCGGAAUUACUGGGCGUAAAGCGCACGCAGGCGGUCUGUCAAGUCGGAUGUGAAAUCCCCGGGCUUAACCUGGGAACUGCAUUCGAAACUGGCAGGCUAGAGUCUUGUAGAGGGGGGUAGAAUUCCAGGUGUAGCGGUGAAAUGCGUAGAGAUCUGGAGGAAUACCGGUGGCGAAGGCGGCCCCUGGACAAAGACUGACGCUCAGGUGCGAAAGCGUGGGGAGCAAACAGGAUUAGAUACCCUGGUAGUCCACGCCGUAAACGAUGUCGAUUUGGAGGUUGUGCCCUUGAGGCGUGGCUUCCGGAGCUAACGCGUUAAAUCGACCGCCUGGGGAGUACGGCCGCAAGGUUAAAACUCAAAUGAAUUGACGGGGGCCCGCACAAGCGGUGGAGCAUGUGGUUUAAUUCGAUGCAACGCGAAGAACCUUACCUGGUCUUGACAUCCACAGAACUUUCCAGAGAUGGAUUGGUGCCUUCGGGAACUGUGAGACAGGUGCUGCAUGGCUGUCGUCAGCUCGUGUUGUGAAAUGUUGGGUUAAGUCCCGCAACGAGCGCAACCCUUAUCCUUUGUUGCCAGCGGUUAGGCCGGGAACUCAAAGGAGACUGCCAGUGAUAAACUGGAGGAAGGUGGGGAUGACGUCAAGUCAUCAUGGCCCUUACGACCAGGGCUACACACGUGCUACAAUGGCAUAUACAAAGAGAAGCGACCUCGCGAGAGCAAGCGGACCUCAUAAAGUAUGUCGUAGUCCGGAUUGGAGUCUGCAACUCGACUCCAUGAAGUCGGAAUCGCUAGUAAUCGUAGAUCAGAAUGCUACGGUGAAUACGUUCCCGGGCCUUGUACACACCGCCCGUCACACCAUGGGAGUGGGUUGCAAAAGAAGUAGGUAGCUUAACCUUCGGGAGGGCGCUUACCACUUUGUGAUUCAUGACUGGGGUGAAGUCGUAACAAGGUAACCGUAGGGGAACCUGCGGUUGGAUCACCUCCUUA